GUAAAGGUUGGAGUGUGACAGAAAUCAUAACAUAACCAUAAUAAUCAUAAAAUAAUGCCCACUUUGCUAGGGAACUUGAUGGUGUUGAUAAGAUAAGAUACACGAAUGUGUGCCACUGCCACUUUGGCUCAAUGAUUACCAUGAACACAUAAGAAGCAGUGAAAAACUUUUCUUUGGGUGAACCCCUUUCAAGGGACUCUUAACAUGUAAGGUCAGUGUCAUAAUCUGUUUUCUUUUAUUGUCAAAAAGUUAUUCAUUCCCAGUAUUGUUGUGGACUUGUUAAUUUCCUCCUGAAUCAGUUUUUGUGAUGGUAAAGCAAAAUAGAGUUUAUUCGCUUUGACAUACAGUACUAUCAAUCAGAGAUAAAGGAGCACUCAUCAACUGAUAUUCUGGGUUUGUGAAAGGGACAAUGAUCUACAUGCAUUUUUUUUGAAGGCACCUUCUCAGAAUCACGCAAAAGGUCUGCAAGGAUCUCUUUCAUUGUUGAGCUGAAAGAAAUGUAACUUCCAAUGUUUAACAAGUAUCACGAGGUGAUUGGUCAGAUUCAGUUAUAGUACUGAAUUACUGAUCCUGAUAAAAAAGGGUGUAAUACAGAUACAAAGUGAUUAACAAAGGAAAAUAUCGUGCUCGAUCAAAAUUUCUGCUAUCAUGUUAAUAAUGGAUACAUAAUUGUUGGAAAGUGUCAUGUUGUAUAGAGAUGACCAUGUUAAGUAACAUGUAAGUCACAAAAUUGCACGCACUUAGGGUGUGUUUGUUUACGCAUUUGGAUGCGGUUUACAUGUGUUUCAAAUGCAUAAUCAAACACACAUUUUAAUGCUGUAAAAUCUUGGGUUGAAUGUGGUGUGGACUAUAUUUUUGUGGUUCACUUCUUAAUUGGAAUUCUCCCUGCUUAAAACCUUAAUGUCUUAUGGUUUCUGUCGAGGCUCAAGGGCAUUCAUUUGGACUUCAGUGAGAUGGGAAGACCAUUGACAAUGGAACUCAUAAAUAUGAACUGUUGUUAUGGUUAUGGGUUAAGCACUCAACUAUGAUUGUUUUUAGGUUUCA
This is a long non-coding RNA of Cajanus cajan (pigeon pea), 1044 nucleotides long. RefSeq lists it as uncharacterized. NCBI's taxonomy places the organism in Eukaryota, Viridiplantae, Streptophyta, Magnoliopsida, Fabales, Fabaceae. The record is from RefSeq and is a predicted model, not a curated record.